CAGUCAUACUCGGUGGGGGAGCUGGGACUCGUCUCUUCCCACUCACUAAGCGCAGGGCCAAACCUGCCGUGCCCAUUGGAGGUGCCUACAGGUUGAUCGAUGUGCCAAUGAGUAACUGCAUAAACAGCGGGAUCAAUAAAAUAUAUAUUCUCACUCAGUUCAACUCGGCAUCACUCAAUCGACAUCUUGCACGGGCUUACAACUUCAGCAGCGGUGUUGGGUUUGGAG
This 228-nucleotide unclassified non-coding RNA is filed under the name Hevea brasiliensis (rubber tree). Lineage: Eukaryota; Viridiplantae; Streptophyta; Magnoliopsida; Malpighiales; Euphorbiaceae. The record is from RNAcentral.